GUACUCGCUUCGGCGCUACAUCUACUGGUGUUGGGGCGAUGCAGGAAGGAUUAUUGUGGCCCGUGCGCAAGGAUGACACGCUGGAUCUUGAGGCAUUCCAUAUUUUU
Molecule: small nuclear RNA, 107 nt
Organism: Schistocerca nitens (vagrant locust)
Lineage: Eukaryota; Metazoa; Arthropoda; Insecta; Orthoptera; Acrididae
Source: RefSeq, a predicted model, not a curated record